This 440-nucleotide ribosomal RNA is filed under the name uncultured bacterium. RNAcentral's name for it is "partial 16S ribosomal RNA". It matches the Rfam family "Bacterial small subunit ribosomal RNA", at positions 338 to 795 of the family's 1533-position model. The record is from RNAcentral.
CCUACGGGCGGCAGCAGUGGGGAAUAUUGCACAAUGGGGGAAACCCUGAUGCAGCAACGCCGCGUGAGGGAAGAAGUAUUUCGGUAUGUAAAGCUCUAUCAGCAGGGAAGAAGAUGACGGUACCUGACUAAGAAGCCCCGGCUAACUACGUGCCAGCAGCCGCGGUAAUACGAAGGGGGCAAGCGUUAUCCGGAUUUACUGGGUGUAAAGGGAGCGUAGACGGCAGGGCAAGUCUGGAGUGAAAGCCCGGGGCCCAACCCCGGGACUGCUUUGGAAACUGCAAUGCUAGAGUGCUGGAGAGGUAAGUGGAAUUCCUAGUGUAGCGGUGAAAUGCGUAGAGAUUAGGAGGAACACCAGUGGCGAAGGCGGCCUACUGGACAGUAACUGACGUUGAGGCGCGAAAGCGUGGGGAGCAAACAGGAUUAGAUACCCCUGUAGUC